This 305-nucleotide unclassified non-coding RNA is filed under the name plant metagenome. RNAcentral's name for it is "partial contains 5.8S ribosomal RNA, internal transcribed spacer 2, and large subunit ribosomal RNA". The stretch from base 1 to 105 matches the Rfam family "5.8S ribosomal RNA", at positions 50 to 154 of the family's 154-position model. The record is from RNAcentral.
GAAAUGCGAUAAGUAAUGUGAAUUGCAGAAUUCAGUGAAUCAUCGAAUCUUUGAACGCACAUUGCGCCCGCCAGUAUUCUGGCGGGCAUGCCUGUUCGAGCGUCUUUUCAACCAUCAAGCCCCCGGCUUGUGUUGGGGACCUGCGGCUGCCCGCAGGCCCUGAAAAACAGUGGCGGGCUCGCUGUCACACCGAGCGUAGUAGCAUACAUUCUCGCUCAGGGCGUGCUGCGGGUUCCGGCCGUUAAACGACCUUCAUAACCCAAGGUUGACCUCGGAUCAGGUAGGAAGACCCGCUGAACUUAAGC